This 492-nucleotide ribosomal RNA is filed under the name uncultured bacterium. Its description in RNAcentral is "partial 16S ribosomal RNA". It matches the Rfam family "Bacterial small subunit ribosomal RNA", at positions 30 to 507 of the family's 1533-position model. The record is from RNAcentral.
AUUGAACGCUGGCGGCAUGCUUUACACAUGCAAGUCGAACGGUAACAGGCCUUCGGGUGCUGACGAGUGGCGAACGGGUGAGUAAUGCAUCGGAACGUGCCCAGAGGUGGGGGAUAACGCAGCGAAAGCUGUGCUAAUACCGCAUGUGAUCUGAGGAUGAAAGCGGGGGACCAGGCAGCAAUGUUUGGCCUCGCGCCUUUGGAGCGGCCGAUGUCAGAUUAGGUAGUUGGUGGGGUAAAGGCCUACCAAGCCGACGAUCUGUAGCUGGUCUGAGAGGACGACCAGCCACACUGGGACUGAGACACGGCCCAGACUCCUACGGGAGGCAGCAGUGGGGAAUUUUGGACAAUGGGCGCAAGCCUGAUCCAGCAAUGCCGCGUGCGGGAAGAAGGCCUUCGGGUUGUAAACCGCUUUUGUACGGAACGAACAGGCUCUGGCUAAUACCUGGGGCUGAUGACGGUACCGUAAGAAUAAGCACCGGCUAACUACGUG